This 1349-nucleotide long non-coding RNA is filed under the name Gossypium barbadense (sea-island cotton). RNAcentral's name for it is "long non-coding RNA (GBAR_LNC019499)". The record is from RNAcentral. Lineage: Eukaryota; Viridiplantae; Streptophyta; Magnoliopsida; Malvales; Malvaceae.
UUGGAUCCAAAUUGGGUAUCAAAACUAAUAGACUAGGGAUGAGUUCUCUUCAGGAUUGGAUUCUUUCAAUGAUUAGAAGAACCAAUUUUGAUACUAAAGAAAGUAAGGAUAUGAUUUCAAAUUUUGCACAUCUAUGGCUCCAAAAGGAACAAAGUUAUCUUUGAAGGAAAAUCCUCAAACCUUAUCAGUGUGAUAAAGUUGGCAGAAGAGUAUAAAGAGGACAAGUAUGGUAAUCCUUAUUCAAACACCCAAGUUAUGGAUAAGGGAAGUCAUUAAGGAAUGCAUGAUAGGUAGACUUAUGGAUUGGGUCAUUCGUCCAAUUCGUCCACUGCUGAAGGCUCGCUUGAAAAGUGGGAGGAUUUGAAAAAAAAAUAGGUUUAGACAAAAAAUAAGGUCCGUUUUCUAAACAAGCCGAGCCUUGGGUAAUAUUUUUUUGGUUCGGGCUCGACUUGAAUUUGCUUAAAAUUUUUUACUACUAUUUACCAUUUUUGUUGUUGUUGUUUGUUGCCACUUUGAUGUUAUUUUGCUACCACUUUGCUAUUAUAUUGAUAUUAUUUUGUUGUUAUUGUUUAGAUAUUGUACAACUUUUGUUUUAUUAUUAAUUUUGUUACUAUUUUAGAGAUAAUUGCUUACUAAGUUGCAACAAUCUUAAUGUUGUUUAAGUAUAAAGACUUUUUUGUUUAUGUAUUUUCAAUUUGUUGGGAAACCUUUAUUUUAAUGUUUUUAGUAUAUUUGAUUUAUUAUAAUUUUUUAAACUUUUUUUUAAACAUAAAAAUAAUAUAAUAUUUUUUAAUACGGACAGGUCAGGCUCGAGUUUAGUAUUUUUUUUAUCUGAAUUGGGCUUGAGCAAAAUUUUAGACCUAUUUUUUGGAUCGAAUUUAACUCAAAACUCAAAAUUUUGCAUUAACUUGAUCCAUAAUCAAAUCUAAUGACAGGAGUGAAAAGCAAACUGCUGGAUGCUCGGUUUUCGUUAAUGGCAGCGCAUCGGAAGGGACUCACAUCAGCAAAUUUUUGGACCAGGGAUAAACUCUUAAGAGCAAUUGUUGAUGGGAGAAAGGUCCAUAUCAAGUGGGAGUUCCGACCAAAUUCAUGUUGCGGAAGUUAUUUAGUCAUAUAGGUGUAAGCAAAUCUUAUUUUGUGGCCUUGAACUGGGUCGAUAAAGAGGUAAGUAAACUGUUAAAAGCUAGUUAGGAAUCCGCUUUAUUUUAUUGCUAACAUCUGUUUCGACAAAUUUGAUCCAUGUAUCCAAAAAAAAUGCAAAGUAACAGUGUUGUUCCAGCUUUUCAUUAAAUUUAAUGGUGUUAGUAUAAGUGAUUUUAAUUUUUAAUAAUCAUUAGCUGAGUCUUAGU